CAAUAGCGUAUAUUAAAGUUGUUGCGGUUAAAAAGCUCGUAGUUGGAUUUCUGCUGAGGAUGACCGGUCCGCCCUGUGGGUGUGCAUCUGGCUCAGCCUUGGCAUCUUCCUGAAGAACGUAGCUGCACUUGACUGUGUGGUGCGGUAUUUAGGACAUUUACUUUGAGGAAAUUAGAGUGUUUCAAGCAAGCGCACGCUUUGAAUACAUUAGCAUGGAAUAAUAAGAUAGGACCUUGGUUCUAUUUUGUUGGUUUCUAGAGCUGAGGUAAUGAUUGAUAGGGAUAGUUGGGGGCAUUCGUAUUUAACUGUCAGAGGUGAAAUUCUUGGAUUUGUUAAAGACGAACUACUGCGAAAGCAUUUGCCAAGGAUGUUUUCAUUGA
This 380-nucleotide ribosomal RNA is filed under the name uncultured eukaryote. RNAcentral describes it as "partial 18S ribosomal RNA". It matches the Rfam family "Eukaryotic small subunit ribosomal RNA", at positions 592 to 976 of the family's 1831-position model. The record is from RNAcentral.